GCGCCUGUAGCUCAACUGGAGAGAGCGCGAGGCUUCGGACCUCGAGGUUGCGGGUUCAACUCCUGCCAGGCGCGCCA
Molecule: transfer RNA, 77 nt
Filed under: bacterium
Lineage: Bacteria
Also listed under: 1 other name
Description: tRNA-Arg
Rfam family: tRNA
About the family: Transfer RNA (tRNA) molecules are approximately 80 nucleotides in length. Their secondary structure includes four short double-helical elements and three loops (D, anti-codon, and T loops). Further hydrogen bonds mediate the characteristic L-shaped molecular structure. tRNAs have two regions of fundamental functional importance: the anti-codon, which is responsible for specific mRNA codon recognition, and the 3' end, to which the tRNAs corresponding amino acid is attached (by aminoacyl-tRNA synthetases). tRNAs cope with the degeneracy of the genetic code in two manners: having more than one tRNA (with a specific anti-codon) for a particular amino acid; and 'wobble' base-pairing, i.e. permitting non-standard base-pairing at the 3rd anti-codon position.
Source: RNAcentral